This is a long non-coding RNA of Xiphophorus hellerii (green swordtail), 128 nucleotides long. RefSeq lists it as uncharacterized. The record is from RefSeq and is a predicted model, not a curated record. The transcript is spliced from 4 exons. Lineage: Eukaryota; Metazoa; Chordata; Actinopteri; Cyprinodontiformes; Poeciliidae.
UUACAUAAAUUUGAAAAUUUUAGCAUUUUGCUUAAAAAAUAGGUAGUUUUAUCAAUAUAAUCUGCCACAAUCGGCCCUUUGAGGACAUUCGUGAUUUGAUAUGCCCCAAAAUGAAAAUGAGUUCGACA